UCUUGCACCAGGCGUAUCAGCAUGGUGUCAGUGCCGGGUCAGAGGCACAGUGGGGCACUAGUGGGGUGUCUAGGGUAAGUGGAAGGGCCCACAGGACUGGUGACCAACCACACAAUAGCUCUCACUGUUCUUUGUCAAUAGCUACUUUUUUUAGCAGAGACACCAGAGCCACACACUCCAAUGGCUCAGUUAAGUUAUGACCUCUCAUUAAAUUCUUUCUGAAUAGCCCAACUGUUGCGUCCAAGUUUCCUGACUUGUCAGUCAGGACGUUAGCCUUUCAUCCUGCGUGUCAUGGCAGAGGCAACAGGAGGGGGAU
Molecule: long non-coding RNA, 316 nt
Filed under: Androctonus crassicauda
Lineage: Eukaryota; Metazoa; Arthropoda; Arachnida; Scorpiones; Buthidae
Source: RNAcentral